RNAcentral lists this ribosomal RNA (352 nucleotides) under uncultured bacterium. RNAcentral's name for it is "bacterial SSU rRNA". It matches the Rfam family "Bacterial small subunit ribosomal RNA", at positions 32 to 361 of the family's 1533-position model. The record is from RNAcentral.
AAUCAACGCUGGCGGCGUGCCUCAGACAUGCAAGUCGAACGCGAAAGGUUCCUUCGGGGACCGAGUAGAGUGGCGCACGGGUGAGUAACACGUAGGUAAUUUGCCUUUGGGUGGGGAAUAACUCAGGGAAACUUGAGCUAAUACCGCAUAAUGCAGCGGCUCGACAUCGAGACAGUUGUUAAAGCGGGGGAGUUCGCAAGAACCUCGCGCCUAAAGAGAAGCCUGCGGCAGAUAGCUAGUUGGUAAGGUAAUGGCUUACCAAGGCGACGAUCUGUAACCGGCCUGAGAGGGCGGUCGGUCACACUGACACUGACAUACGGGUCAGACUCCUACGGGAGGCAGCAGUCGGGAA